RNAcentral lists this ribosomal RNA (447 nucleotides) under uncultured bacterium. RNAcentral's name for it is "bacterial SSU rRNA". It matches the Rfam family "Bacterial small subunit ribosomal RNA", at positions 355 to 825 of the family's 1533-position model. The record is from RNAcentral.
UGGGGAAUAUUGCGCAAUGGGCGAAAGCCUGACCCAGCAACGCCGCGUGAAGGAUGAAGUAUUUCGGUAUGUAAACUUCGAAAGAAUAGGAAGAAUAAAUGACGGUACUAUUUAUAAGGUCCGGCUAACUACGUGCCAGCAGCCGCGGUAAUACGUAGGGACCAAGCGUUGUUCGGAUUUACUGGGCGUAAAGGGCGCGUAGGCGGCAAUUCAAGUCAUCUGUGAAAUCUCCGGGCUUAACCUGGGAACUGCGUUUGAAACUGAGGGGCUAGAGUGUGGAAGAGGGGGGUGGAAUUCCAGGUGUAGCAGUGAAAUGCGUAGAGAUCUGGAGGAACACCGAUGGCGAAGGCAGCCCCCUGGGCUAACACUGACGCUCAUGCACGAAAGCGUGGGGAGCAAACAGGAUUAGAUACCCCCGUAGUCCCUGAGCGGGCUGGCAAGGCGCAU